UACGUAGGUGGCAAGCGUUAUCCGGAUUUAUUGGGCGUAAAGGGAACGCAGGCGGUCUUUUAAGUCUGAUGUGAAAGCCUUCGGCUUAACCGGAGUAGUGCAUUGGAAACUGGGAGACUUGAGUGCAGAAGGGGAGAGUGGAACUCCAUGUGUAGCGGUGAAAUGCGUAGAUAUAUGGAAGAACACCAGUGGCGAAAGCGGCUCUCUGGUCUGUAACUGACACUGAGGCUCGAAAGCGUGGGGAGCAAACAGG
This 253-nucleotide ribosomal RNA is filed under the name uncultured bacterium. RNAcentral's name for it is "partial 16S ribosomal RNA". It matches the Rfam family "Bacterial small subunit ribosomal RNA", at positions 524 to 776 of the family's 1533-position model. The record is from RNAcentral.